CCUACGGGAGGCUGCAGUGAGGAAUAUUGGUCAAUGGACGCAAGUCUGAACCAGCCAUGCCGCGUGCAGGAAGACGGCUCUAUGAGUUGUAAACUGCUUUUGUACGAGGGUAAACGCAGAUACGCGUAUCUGUCUGAAAGUAUCGUACGAAUAAGGAUCGGCUAACUCCGUGCCAGCAGCCGCGGUAAUACGGAGGAUUCAAGCGUUAUCCGGAUUUAUUGGGUUUAAAGGGUGCGUAGGCGGUCGGAUAAGUUAGAGGUGAAAUCCCGAGGCUCAACUUCGGAAUUGCCUCUGAUACUGUUCGGCUAGAGAGUAGUUGCGGUAUGCGGAAUGUAUGGUGUAGCGGUGAAAUGCUUAGAGAUCAUACAGAACACCGAUUGCGAAGGCAGCUUACCAGGCUACUUCUGACGUUGAGGCACGAAAGCGUGGGGAGCGAACAGGAUUAGAUACCCUAGUAGUC
This 460-nucleotide ribosomal RNA is filed under the name uncultured bacterium. RNAcentral's name for it is "partial 16S ribosomal RNA". It matches the Rfam family "Bacterial small subunit ribosomal RNA", at positions 338 to 795 of the family's 1533-position model. The record is from RNAcentral.